GCAAACAGUACAAAGAAACCCCCCAAACGCACGCUUGGCAGAGCAGACACUUCCGUGAGAAGAUAGUUUGAGAACGCUGCAAGGGCUGCCCAACCCGCACUAAUCUGCAAGCAAACAUAAAUUUUCCUCCGAAGUGACACUGACAAGCUAUAAAAGAAUAAUAGUAGGUAGCAAUCUCCCUUCUUAUUCUGCCCUGGACUGGCCAGCACGGGAAGACAAGAUGAUGCCAACGAUAAGGCCAUAAAGAGCCAACGCUUCGGCAAAGAUGAGGAUAAGAAUCAUUCCAACAAAAAGUUUAGGCUGUUGAGCAUUAGCUCUGCGAGAGAGAGAAAAUGUAUCAGUAUGAAUCGCAAGUCAAGAGAUUCUUCUCCCUAAGUUGCAUUCUUGCAAGUGCAAAAGAUAUUGCAACACAAUGGAAAAUUCUCCUGUGUAUGCAGCCUCCAUCAGAGAUUUCUCAUUUUGUCUUAAUUUUACAGAAAAAUACCAGACAUUACAAAGUUUGCACAGCAAAACUAGACAACAGAUCUAUAUCUAUAUAAUUUAGAAACCACUGCAUCAUAUCAAGGGGAAAACAGUUCAAAGUAAAAAACUAACUAACAAAGUAUGACACUAAUAAAAAAAAAUAUACAGGUUGAGACACAUUAACCAUACCGAUCCUGUAUUAGUUAAUAACAAAAAUCACAUAUCACAUAUACUCUACAUAAAAAGGACAGCAAACAUACCUGACACCAGCAUCACCAACAAUGCCAAUGGCCAUUCCAGCAGAUAGCCCGGCAAGGCCACAAGCGAGACCGGACGAGAGAUGUGCAUACCCGUCGAAAAGGUAAUAAGACUUAGCCUUAGGGUUAAUUCCGGUACUAAUAAUAACAGCAAUAAUCAACCCAUAAAUACCCAACACACCAGCCAUAACAACUGGAACAAUCGACUUCAUCACCAACUCGGGCCUCAUCACUCCCAUCGAUGCCACACCAACUCCACUCUUAGCGGUUCCAUAAGCUGCUCCCAUACCUACACAAACACCAAAACUCCAAUAUUACACCAAAAACAAAACACACAGAAGCAUUUCAAAAAUUCUUCCUAGAACUAAAAUUUCUGCAGAUCUAAGGAAUUUGUUAAAAAUCUAAUCUUGAUUAAGUAAAAUGGUUCUAUAAAAUAAAGAUUAUCAAAUCAAAAUUUAAAUCAAAAUGCUUAAUAAAUGUCAAAAUUAAUAUCAUUUAUUGACAAGUAAGCUAAUUGAAGAUCCAAGUCAACGUAAUUAACACAAACCCAUUAUUAAUUACGCAUACGCACGGCCAAUAAUCAAAUUCAAAGAAAUAAUUGCAACGAAUAUAACAUUAAACUAAAAUGAAAUCACUUUAGACAUGUAUAAUUGCAUCAAGAUCGAUCUGAUAAUCAUCCAUAUAGCAAUUCUAUUUUCCUUAAUUUUCUAGGGAACCAAUCAAGAACAUGAAAAUAAAUAAAACAAUUAAAAGAUCGAAUAAAAGUAAAAGAAAU
RNAcentral lists this long non-coding RNA (1494 nucleotides) under Populus trichocarpa (black cottonwood). Its description in RNAcentral is "long non-coding RNA (PTRI_LNC002362)". The record is from RNAcentral. Lineage: Eukaryota; Viridiplantae; Streptophyta; Magnoliopsida; Malpighiales; Salicaceae.